GACGAACGCUGGCGGCGUGCUUAACACAUGCAAGUCGAACGGAAAGGCCCUGCUUUUGUGGGGUGCUCGAGUGGCGAACGGGUGAGUAACACGUGAGUAACCUGCCCUUGACUUUGGGAUAACUUCAGGAAACUGGGGCUAAUACCGGAUAGGAGCUCCUGCUGCAUGGUGGGGGUUGGAAAGUUUCGGCGGUUGGGGAUGGACUCGCGGCUUAUCAGCUUGUUGGUGGGGUAGUGGCUUACCAAGGCUUUGACGGGUAGCCGGCCUGGGAGGGUGACCGGCAACAUUGGGACGGAGAUACGGCCCAGACUCCUACGGGAGGCAGCAGUGGGGAAUAUUGCACAAUGGGCGGAAGCCUGAUGCAGCAACGCCGCGUGCGGGAUGACGGCCUUCGGGUUGUAACCCGCUUUCGCCUGUGACGAAGCGUGAGUGACGGUAAUGGGUAAAGAAGCACCGGCUAACUACGUG
This 468-nucleotide ribosomal RNA is filed under the name uncultured bacterium. RNAcentral's name for it is "partial 16S ribosomal RNA". It matches the Rfam family "Bacterial small subunit ribosomal RNA", at positions 28 to 507 of the family's 1533-position model. The record is from RNAcentral.